AGAAUCAACGCUGGCGGCGUGCCUAACACAUGCAAGUCGAACGAGAAAGUGGAGCAAUCCAUGAGUAAAGUGGCGACCGGGUGAGUAACACGUGACUAACCUACCUUUGAGUGGGGGAUAACAUCGGGAAACCGAUGCUAAUACCGCAUAACAUCGCAAGAUCAAAGCAGCAAUGCGCUUAAAGGAGGGGGUCGCGGCUGAUUAGCUAGUUGGCGGGUAACGCCCACAAGGCGAAGAUCGGUA
Molecule: ribosomal RNA, 243 nt
Filed under: uncultured bacterium
Lineage: Bacteria
Description: partial small subunit ribosomal RNA
Rfam family: Bacterial small subunit ribosomal RNA
Source: RNAcentral